UACGGGGGGGGCAAGCGUUGUUCGGAAUUACUGGGCGUAAAGGGCUCGUAGGCGGCCAACUAAGUCGGAUGUGAAAAUCCCCCAGGCUCAACCUGGGAACUGCAUCCGAUACUGGAUGGCUUGAAUUCGGGAGAGGGAUGCAGAAUUCCAGGUGUAGCGGUGAAAUGCGUAGAUAUCUGGAGGAAUACCGGUGGCGAAGGCGGCAUCCUGGACCGACAUUGACGCUGAUGAGCGAAAGCUAAGGGGAGCAAACGGGGAUUAAGAUACCGU
This 270-nucleotide ribosomal RNA is filed under the name uncultured bacterium. RNAcentral's name for it is "partial 16S ribosomal RNA". It matches the Rfam family "Bacterial small subunit ribosomal RNA", at positions 524 to 790 of the family's 1533-position model. The record is from RNAcentral.